AACCGUUGCGGCAACUUCCCCGACCACCUUCGUCGUUGUCGGUUGGCGGCGACAUUUUUUUCUUUCUUUUUCCUUCCUUACCUCCACCUUGUCUCUCUUCUCUCUAGCAAUCUCUUUAGCUUUUUUUUUUUUUUUUUCCUUUUCCCUCCCAUGACUUCUGCCAUGAGGGGUUGAUGCCUGAAUAGAUCCACACCAACACCAAUGCCCCGGAAAUCUUGCAUCUGUAUUCUCUUUUACAAGUUUAGGCAUUUUUACCACAAGAGGAGCAUGGAGAGAAAUUUGGAGCAACUAAUGUUGUUGUGAGAUUCAUAACGGUUGAACCCAUUGGAGCCUUGCCUAGAUUUGUUUCCCAUUGUGAUGGUUGUUGCUCUUGUUCUUAAUCCAUGGCCUAGAUUCAUACCUAGAUGUGUUUGCGAGUGAUAGAGAGACGAACAUCAAAGAGAAACAAAGAUGGAUAGACAACAAUGAAAUGGAAACAUGCCGUGGCAGUGCCUUCGCGGUGGUCCACCAAGGCGUCGUCGUUGUCUCAUUCCUCUUGACGAACUUGGCAUUUAUGUUGGGGUUGUACUCGGUAGGCCUAGUCGAGCCCAUCUCCAUUUUCAGCUACAAAGAAAUGGAACAAGAAAUUAGGGUAUGGUAGGGAAGGGAAUGGACGAGUGCUCCUUUGGGUUGGUAAAUGUGGCUUUAAUUUGUUAGUUAGCGCGAAUGGUGCAACAAGGACAUAUAAGGGGAUGUCGGAGAAUGGAGGGAGGGGGGAGGCAGUAGUUGCUGUCUACAGUGGAGGAAUAUUCAUAGAGAAUAGAGAGGAGCUGCGAGGGGUCUGAGGUGGGAGUCAUGGAUUUUGAAAUGCCUUCAGUGAAAAGAAGGAUGAUCGAAGAAAUUUGUUGGGAAGAGAUUGAAAAUAAAGUGUAAACUGACCCAUGAUACUACAUCAAUCUAGCGACUCACAAUUAUUACCUUGAUAGGUGGUCCACCAAAACGAUGACCGUAUUUAGGUACACAACUUAUUUAAAUACUAAAUUACAUUUUAGUCUCUUAAACAUCACAACUAUAUGAUUUUGGUUUUCCUAAGGGGUAUAUUAUGAACUAUUAUUUGUGGGCUUUGGAUUGACUUAGGGUGUAUAAUUUUAUUGUACACCCUUUGCAUCCAAACUUUCCCCUCUUAAAUCAAAUCUCCCUCCCUCCCUAGCAGUCUAGCUCCACCUCCGUCUCCGAUAGCAUUGGAGUGGGUGCAUUUAGACUUUGAUGAGGUCGAGUCGAUGGGUGGUGCAACUUGCGACGAUGGAAACACCAUCUUCAAAAAAUCCUCUAAGACUCAUCUUCAAUUUUCAAUUCAAAACAUAGUAGUAGUGUGUAUGAUUCAGAGUCAUAGAUAAAGCAACUAUGUUAAGCAAUGAAUCUGUGCUUUAACGUUUUGGUGAGGAACGAAGGAGAUGGGUUGGAGAUGAUUAUAUAGUAGCUUUUGUGUGUAAGAGAUUACUAGAGAGAGUCACUAGAAGUGGUGGAACGUCACUGGAGACGGUGGUGGAGCUAGACUGCUAGAGAGGGAGGGAGAGUAGAGUUAAGAGGAAAAGUUUGGAUGAAGAGGAUGUAUAAUAAGAUUAUACACCUUAGAUAAAUCCAAAGCUCACAAAUAAUGAUCCAUAAUAUACCCCUUAUAAAAGUGUUCCACAAAUAAUCAUACAACUUAUACAAGUGGUCCACGGAAGUAUUGAUCUCCAUUUAAUAUUUAAGCCAUUAAAUUGUUCAGAAUGGAAUACAUCCUUUGCAUAUAUAAUUGCAUUGUCCAAUAUCCAUUACUAUCAUAAAAACACUAAUUUAGCGCAAAUAUGAAAACAACAAUUAAGCCAAUAUAGUUGGAGUAUUUUUCUUUAAAACAGUUAAGAGUAUAUUUUUAUGUCAUUGUAGUUUAAAUACUGUUUUUUUAGCAGUUACACUUUAUCUAUUCACUAUCAUGUCAUAUACAGUUUGUCCUAUAAACUAAUUCUAUUAAGUAUUGAAUAAAAUCUGGGUAGAGGAAUAAAAAAAAUUAGGAUAGAAUGAAGGAGAUUUAACUUAAUUAGUUAAAUAAAAAUUUAUAAAUUUUCUGACAUUAUCUUUAAUUUCUACACAUAAAAAAAUCAGGAUAGAAGGAUCUAAUUUUAAACGAAAAAAAUAUUAAAAAAUGUUGAUGCAAUUAAAACUUGAAAAACUAAAACUGUACCAUCAUAAUAUCAAAGGGAUUAAAAAUAGCAUUAAGUCAAAUUUAUCUUACCCAUUUUGCACCAAGGAAAAUGAGCUAAAGAAUUUAUAAUAUGUAUCUUUACAACAUGACGAUACAAACAAAACGUCAUGCAAAAGCAUCGAAAUAGCGUCUAGUCAAACUUUUCAAACGACAAAACGUUCUUUGCAACCGUGUGUAUCAUAGUGAUGGAUGAUGAUAUGUGGAAACCACGUUAGUUUGGCACAUCAGUUAUUUGUCUUCUAAACAAUAAGAAUGAUGGUUGCAUGGUGCAUGAGCAUGCAUGAUAUUUGGAUGGUUGGCUUUAUAUGUAUUCAUUCUUUAAUCUUUCUUAUACUAAUCAAUGUGCCUUUAUAUGCCAAUUUGCCUUCUCUUUUGACAAUGCAUGUAUUUAAUUGUGAUAAUUACCAAGUCACAAGUACAGUCCAAAUGACUGCCAAUUUGGAAUGGUAACAAUGGUAAGAGUUAAUUCUCAUUCUCUUUAUAGAUGCGAGCUUGAUUUUUCCUGUAACUGCUAAAGUCUUAUAGAUUUAAUGACAUUUAAGGACUAGUUAAAUAGUAAGAAACAAUUUGCACAAAAAAAAUAGUAAUAAAAAUAAAAUUAUUUACAAUCUAAGCUUAUGGGUGAACCUCUUCUAACAUAUCAUUGUAUGUAAUGCUGUAAAAUAACAAAAACAAAAUAAAACUUCUUGUAUGUAACAUGACAUUAAUAUUUUAUCAGCAUUUCUCCAAGUCUUCAGACAUAUAUAAGGAAAAUUAUUACUCCUUAAACUUUACUUCCCAAUUGUAGAUACUUCAAAUUUAGUUUUAUUCUAAUUAUUCCUUAAAAUUUAAUUUUAUCAGCAUUUCUCCAAGUCUUCAGACAUUUUUUUUAAAUUUUUAAUUAAAAAUUUUAUUUUCUUUAAAAAAAAAAAACUGAGUAAGCCGUAAAUGUUUUGCAUUAAGUAUUGUCAUCCAAGGCUACUAGUAAACUCAUGAAAUUAAAGUUUAUGAAAUUCACAUUCACAGAAGCUCAAUAUGGAAGGAUGCCAGUCUGUUUUUGGUUGUUAUUGAAGUGAUUUUUUUUAUCUGCAAGCUAUUGAAGUGUAUCUAAACACAUAUAAUACUUUCUUCUAACAACAAACUUUAGACAGUUUUCUUUUUGUCAUAUUACAAAUUCUAGGUGAUGCUGAGGACUCAUUUGACCUCAAUUAGCUAAACUUCAACCAGAAAAUUGACUUCAGAUAUCCUGCCAGUACGUACUCUACUAUUGUCUCCAUGCCAUAUCCAAAUGGCUCUAUUUCAUGUGAAUUCUGAGGCCAUAGAAUAUGUAUCUAGCAUUCUACGUACAAACGCUUCAUAUUGGUUCAUUCACAUUCAAGCAAAGAAGAAAAUUAAAAACUCCUUUACAGAAAUAACAUUUGACAGGCCAAUAAUAGACAUUACCCAACACAUUGUUUUCUACAGAGAAUAGCUACAAUAAAAGGAAGAUCCAAAUACUACAGAAAAGGCACAAUAACCCCUAGAAAAGGCACCCCUUUUGUAAUGUAUCAUUCUAUUACUACAGAAAUGACUUCAGUGGGUCAUUAGGGUCAAUAUCAGCAAUAAGUGGGAGAUCAACUGGUAUAGAUUCUAGACUCAAGCCUUCUUCUCUUAGCUUUGUGAUUACUUCCUCAAAAACAACUUGAUUGCCACUUUGAGUAAGAUGCAAACCAUCACUGCAUUUAAGUUACCAAAAUCAUAAAUUCAUAUAAAAACCAAAUAUAUAAUCAAAAUCAAUACUCAAACUCAUUCCAUUCGGGCUCUUUUUCUCUAUCAAAGGAGCGAAUUUCUAAAUUUUCAUAUGUAACACACUAUUGGAUUCAUAAUUAUAGAAAACAAGAAAGGCAAUUGCAUAUAGAGAAAUCAGUGUAGGCUCUAAUUAUCCACACUAUACAAACUAAGUUGUAGGAAAAAUCAAAUCACAUUGUUUGUACCAUCAGAAGGUAACUAAAUUUUCAGUUCAGUAGUCUUUGCAUUUUUAAUCAAACCAUACCCAUCAAAGAAUGACAUUCUUCCAAUGCAAACUCUACGAAAUUGGCAAUUAUGGCAUAAACUUGAAAAACCAAUUCAGCAAUGAAAACCUCAAUACUCUCGUAAAAUUAUAGUACGAUAUAACACGACACAAUUAAAAACACAUUCAGUUGUAUUACAAGACAAAGCCAUCAUGUUUGUCAGCAUUUUAAAUAUAAGUGGUAACUAUAAACUAUUGUCAAUAUAAGUGCAAGAUAUAAAUUAAGAAUUUAAGAUGCAAAAAUAUCUACGAUGCAAGUGAAAAUAUAUAAAGGUAAAAGUUUUGUGAGACCGUAGAUAUUCUUUUUUCCAGUCAGGGUACUGUUGCAUUUUGGUCCAGAGAUCAACCACAGGGAUUCCACAUUCUCCUGCCACAGCAAUGCAAGCUCUAGCAUACUCACCAGC
This 4657-nucleotide long non-coding RNA is filed under the name Glycine max (soybean). Its description in RNAcentral is "long non-coding RNA (GMAX_LNC003357)". The record is from RNAcentral. Lineage: Eukaryota; Viridiplantae; Streptophyta; Magnoliopsida; Fabales; Fabaceae.